This 348-nucleotide ribosomal RNA is filed under the name Triticum aestivum (bread wheat). Its description in RNAcentral is "partial small subunit ribosomal RNA". Lineage: Eukaryota; Viridiplantae; Streptophyta; Magnoliopsida; Poales; Poaceae. The record is from RNAcentral.
AUGCAAACAUGUUUCAAACCAAGGAGAGGAAUUAAACACAGUGAAAUAACAUACAUCAAUCAGAGGAGAUCCAAUCAAACCCAUACAGAUAAUUUUGAUUUCUCAUCAAUUUCCAUUACCUCGUCAGCAACAUACAUUAAUCAGAGGAGGUCCAAUCAAACCCACCCAGUUAAUUUUGAUUUCUCAUCAAUUUUCAUUACCUCAUCAGCAACAUACCUUCCUAUUCAGGAUGUGAUGAUAAGCUAUGUCAUGAGGGAUAUGCUUUCAACAAAUACGGGUAAAAACUUCCCAAAAAAGACCGCCAAUCUUAUGCAUGGAUACCAGGAUUACAUUACACAGUCAAACUAG